ACAGCACUUUGAGAUAUCAGCUGAUGUAAGAAGGGCUAUCAGUCAUCUAGUGUUUCUAUAAAUGAUUGGUAAUUACUCGUCAAAUCUGCCAUGACGGGGAAUGGAAGCUUGUUUUGUGUAACGGGGAGGGUCAAUUGAAUGCAAAAGCUACCCAGUACACAUUAAGUUGGACGUUGGUUACAAUGCUCUCGUAAAGUUUAUUUGUCACACACUGUCACUACAUGACGGAUAAUGUAUCAUGUGUGUAGUCAUUUAUGUAGUAAUUAAAAUGCUUCUUAGUGCUUUUGGCAUGUGUCAAGUAAAAUAAUUGGCGGCAGCCUAUUAGAAGACUUGGAGGCGUGGCUUGUUGGGAGUGUAUCUCCCAUGGGACGGUUUGUCAUGCCAGUUAAAGUGUUAAAUUGUGUUCUGUAAAGGUUAAACUCUUGGGGAUUCUCAAGAUAAAGGGGUACACCUGAAUGGUUGUCGGACUUGGGAACCCAUUAAAGUGGGUAGGAAAAAAAGGAAUAAAGUAUAAUAUUAAGAGUAAAUGGAGUGCUGGAGAAUGAAAUUGAACAUAAUGAGACUGAGGAUUAAUUAACUGCGGUGGCAGGUGUCGGGAAGACCGCCGAGUUUGAGCCUCGUCCGAUGAGGAUAAUUUUUUUUUGUUGCUAAAUUGGAGAGAAUGUGUCCUUGACUUCUGGCUGAUCCACAUAUGGUUUCGGGUUGAGUGGAGUAGAGGUUGGAGAAUGUUGGGUCGGUGAAAGUGACUCGAAGUGGAAUCAUGUGGAUUUUUUUGUUUGUUGCGUUUCUGCCAUCCAGAAGGACAAGAACUGAGACUUGCUUUCCUCUCCAUUGCAGGGCGCCGUUGAAAGGAGUGAUAACUGGAGUUGAAGAUUCCUGGUGUCUGUGACACCUGCCGUUUGGUGCGAUGCAGAACCGGUGGAGAGCGUGGUGAAACAGAGAAGACUCUCUGUAAUACUGAGUUUUGAUGCAGAGUUUUUACCAGAUAAAGUCAAGUUAUGGUCAUGUGGCAGCUGUCUAGUUAACUAUGUGUAUGACACCACCUACUGGUGCUGAGUACUCGCUGACACUACCUACAGCAGAUUACGAAACAAGGAAACCAUUCAGCUGUGGGAAGAUCUUCCACCACCACACCACUAACACACAAACAGAUUUCCUUCCUAACCUCAUGUCCUCAAACUCAGGUCUGGAAACUGAGGCCAUCUCUGUAAGGAACUCACUGUUGGUCCAUGUGAGAGUGAGGGGGAGCCAGAUUCCUUUCAUGAGCAUCUGUAGAGCUGCAUCUGCACUGCUGAAGGAGAAUGCCCAACAUUCCCAGAAUACGAACACAUACCGCUGUAGAUCAGACUAAAGCAGGACUUCUAUACAGACUACUUAUAGUCAUAGCAUCUGUAUGAUAUAUCCAGCUUAUUACAUGAGUUUGGGUUUCUAAUGAAAUGUCUCUCUUUAAGGCUAUUGUUGUCAUUAAUCAUUUCAAAGAGCCAUGCCCAAAAACAGAAAUACCAAGACAGUCUAAACAGCUUAAUCUUUUGAAGUUAGGAAUGCAAUUUCGGAUGCAGCGUCGCAGGACAAACAUGCCCAAAUAAAGUAUAAGACAGACUUCAGUUGCCUCAAAUUUGACCUUCCCUAUGCUGGUCAUAUGUCACAAACGUAGACAAGAAAUGUAUCUAACUCAGAGCAGACCUGGCUUCAAUACAUGCAUAUCUGUGUAUUUUCAAAUGAUUUCACCAAAUCAACUCCUUUAAUUUUAAGUAUUCUUUAAUAAUUAUAUUAAUAGCCAUUCUCAGUUACUUCAAAUACCCCUAGGACCAAAUGGACAAAUGCAAAGAGUAUUUUAAAAUUUGUAUUCGAAAAUACACUUCUGUGCAUUUAAGUACACGCCAGUACUUUUAAAGUGUAUUUCCAAGUACAUUGCAAUAUUCAACUACUUGUAUUUCCAAAUAAAAAAUAUCAAAAUAUUAACUUCAAGUGUUUUUGUAAGUAAUUGUGUCACGUUCGUCAUCACGCAGCGUGAUACGAAUACAUACUCUUUAAUUAAACAAAGAAACACUAAACAAACUUACAAAACGAACGUGACGCUAUAUAAACCGAUUGCUGACACAGGCAACUACACUAGACAAUAACCCAAGGAAUAUGGCUACCUAAAUAUGGUCCCCAAUCGGAGACAACGAUAAACAUCAUUGAUUGAGAACCAAUCUAGGCAACCAUAGAUAUAAAAACACCUAGAAUUAGAAACAUCCCCAUAAACAUAGAAAAACCCGAGACAGGGUCAACACAUAUAUCACCCUCGUCACACCCUGACCUAACCAAAAUAAUAAAGAAAACAAAGAAUACUAAGGUCAGGGCGUGACAAAUUGAAAUACCCUAAAUAGUAUUUGCACCCAGGUCUGCCUUAGAAUUCAUUAGGCUAGAUGUAAGUAUACAGUAUGCUACUAAUAGUGUAUGAACGUGUUUGCAUCUUUACUGUAAACUGUAACAUGAACAUGCAUCUUAGCUUUGCAGUAAACAUUCAACAUCGCCAUCUGUUGGCCACGUGCUGUCUAUUAUAAUUUACGACUACUGAGCUCCAGCAAAGUAAACAUUAAGUUGAAAAAGUAAAUCCGGUGAAAACCUCAGGAUGCUUUUAGAAUCAUUUUUAAGAGGUGAAAUAUCAUGCUGGGUUAGUUAGAGAGGAUUAGAGCAGUGGAAACGAGACCUCGGCAGAGCCUCAGGGAGUAUAAGGUAAGGCACAACACACACGGGUAUAAGUACACUAUUGUAAGUACUUAGGCUACCUGAUCUCACCUUGGCUGCAACAUUUCACCCCCCUAAGAAUAAUCCCUGGGAUGUUAUGUAACCACUACUGAGCUCUCUCUGUUUUGUACACUAGUUUGUUACCUGUGCUUGUAAUUUCUGGUCACUAUGCUCAAUUUGGAGAGCCUCAUCACACAGUUUGUUUAUCUAAUGACAUAUUCACACUGUGAUAGUGUUUCUCCUUUUCAUAUAAAUGGAAAAAAGGAGAUAUCCAUACAAAAUGUCCUGAAGUAUUACUGCAGUUACAUGUCAUUAUAAUGUUGUGAAGGAGAUACAUAUGAUAUUCUAUUAACAUAAAUAGACACACAGCAAAUAAAAAUCAACAAGUGUACAUUUAUUGAAUUAGUAGAUAUUACAUGUUGGCAGUGUACACCCACAGAGAAAGUCUGGCCACAUAGCAUAUUUCCGUAUGAAAGGUGCCUUUCUCAAGCAUUUGGCUGCCUCCCUGUCACAUUUGCAGAGAAUCUUCUCACAUUUGUCCUUGAGAUCAUCUGGAAUGAAAAGAGGGUUAAGUGGGUGAGUAGUUCCCUUAAAUGACAGCUGAUGUGAAAGGAGUGGUCUGUGGAGGAUGUGAAGGAAACACCCUGAGGUUUAGAAAUGUUAGAAAAUGUCUGAUGCUCAAAUAAACACCGUAAAC
Long non-coding RNA from Oncorhynchus gorbuscha (pink salmon), 3430 nucleotides. RefSeq lists it as uncharacterized. The record is from RefSeq and is a predicted model, not a curated record. NCBI's taxonomy places the organism in Eukaryota, Metazoa, Chordata, Actinopteri, Salmoniformes, Salmonidae. The transcript is spliced from 3 exons.